This 200-nucleotide ribosomal RNA is filed under the name uncultured prokaryote. RNAcentral's name for it is "partial 16S ribosomal RNA". It matches the Rfam family "Bacterial small subunit ribosomal RNA", at positions 1183 to 1382 of the family's 1533-position model. The record is from RNAcentral.
CGUCAAGUCAUCAUGCCCCUUACAUCCUGGGCUACACACGUACUACAAUGCUACGGACAAAGGGCAGCAAGUUCGCGAGGACAAGCAAAUCCCAUAAACCGUAGCUCAGUUCAGAUCGUAGGCUGCAACUCGCCUACGUGAAGGAGGAAUCGCUAGUAAUCGCAGGUCAGCAUACUGCGGUGAAUACGUUCCCGGGCCUU